CUAUACAUGCAGUCGAGCGAGAAGACGUAGCAAUACGUUUGUAAAGCGGCGAACGGGUGAGGAAUACAUGGGUAACCUACCCUCGAGUGGGGAAUAACUAACCGAAAGGUUAGCUAAUACCGCAUACGGCUCCUGGUCUGCGGAUCGGGAGAGAAAGCGAUACCGUGGGUAUCGCGCUCUUGGAUGGGCUCAUGUCCUAUCAGCUUGUUGGUGAGGUAACGGCUCACCAAGGCUUCGACGGGUAGCUGGUCUGAGAGGACGAUCAGCCACACUGGCACUGCGACACGGGCCAGACUCCUACGGGAGGCAGCAGUAAGGAAUAUUGCGCAAUGGGCGACAGCCUGACGCAGCGACGCCGCGUGGGGGAUGAAGGUCUUCGGAUUGUAAACCCCUUUCGGCAGGGAAGAUGGAACGGGUAACCGUUCGGACGGUACCUGCAGAAGCAGCCGCGGCUAACUUCGUGCCAGCAGCCGCGGUAAUACGAAGGUGGCAAGCGUUGUUCGGAUUUACUGGGCGUACAGGGAGCGUAGGCGGUU
RNAcentral lists this ribosomal RNA (536 nucleotides) under uncultured bacterium. RNAcentral's name for it is "bacterial SSU rRNA". It matches the Rfam family "Bacterial small subunit ribosomal RNA", at positions 49 to 580 of the family's 1533-position model. The record is from RNAcentral.